CAUGGAAGAAAGUUGAAAGGCGCUUUUGCGUCACUGAUGGAUGGACCCGCGGUGCAUUAGCUAGUUGGUGAGGUAACGGCUCACCAAGGCAACGAUGCAUAGCCGACCUGAGAGGGUGAUCGGCCACACUGGGACUGAGACACGGCCCAGACUCCUACGGGAGGCAGCAGUAGGGAAUCUUCGGCAAUGGACGAAAGUCUGACCGAGCAACGCCGCGUGAGUGAAGAAGGUUUUCGGAUCGUAAAACUCUGUUGUUAGAGAAGAACAAGGAUGAGAGUAAAAUGUUCAUCCCUUGACGGUAUCUAACCAGAAAGCCACGGCUAACUACGUGCCAGCAGCCGCGGUAAUACGUAGGUGGCAAGCGUUGUCCGGAUUUAUUGGGCGUAAAGCGAGCGCAGGCGGUUUCUUAAGUCUGAUGUGAAAGCCCC
This 428-nucleotide ribosomal RNA is filed under the name Enterococcus casseliflavus. RNAcentral's name for it is "bacterial SSU rRNA". It matches the Rfam family "Bacterial small subunit ribosomal RNA", at positions 188 to 604 of the family's 1533-position model. The record is from RNAcentral. Lineage: Bacteria; Bacillati; Bacillota; Bacilli; Lactobacillales; Enterococcaceae.